UGAAGCGACCAAUAUAACCAGGAAGAACUGCACAGUCAUCAAAAAUGAUGUUCUUACUACAUUCAAGUGUGAGGUAGGGAUCUUUAUCCCCGUGUACUGUGUGUUAGGUGUAAGUCUGCAGGCCACACACACGGGGUACGGCAGCAGCAGCCGGGACGAAAGCUCCCGGUGAGAGGCGGGCAGAUAAUACCGAUACCAACGCUGUAGCUCAAGGCAGUGUACCUGUGACCACAGCGAGGCCUUUGAUGAUGUACUGAAGUACGUCGGUAAGCUUCGGGAAAGCCACAGCCAACUUGAAGAACACUUUAAAAACUUAAAUGCGAGUUAUCAACGAGACUACUCUUUGCUCUUUGAGGACCUUAAAGAUUUACAGAACAGAAGGGAAUCUCUAGAAGAGCGAUUCAUUGACUUGACAGAACAGUAUCAGAAUGACGUUUGGAACUUGAAAAAAGAGUUAGCCGCCACAGCGGAGAAGAGUGCUGAUCGGUCUUCUGAUGCAACACAAGAUUUUUAUGAGGUGCUGGAGGCUUGUGAGAGACGCCAGUUCAAGCUGGAGCAGCAGCAGCAGAAAGAAGAGGAUGCAGGGCAUCCAGAGACAUGGGCCAAUACCACUGCACAGACAGUACUUGAAAAACUAAUCGAUGUAUCGCUAGCCUUUAUAACCGUGCUUUUGGUGCUGAUGUCCACAGUGAGCAGCUGGGUGGCCCCAUUUUUCAAGACAGCCCUUCUAAUGCUUUGCACGCUGCUUUUUCUGGUCCUUUUGUCUUUCCUGUGGAGGCACUGGGAUGUUAUUUUAGAUUAUCAUCAUUUACCCUUCUGCAAUUAACAUCUUGGAGAAACAUAAAAUGAAUGCAGACACCACUCAGUCAUCUUUAUUACUGCAGUGUAUGGAAACUUAAAUCUAGUGUGUGUGUCUUACUACAGAAAGCAAUAGCCCAUACAGUGAAGUCUGAGUUACACAGGAAUGAAUCCUUUGAUUACAGGACAUGAAUCUACAGCCGAGGAUGGUCAACAUAUUCAGGGAAAUGCACCGAUUAAUAGAAACAGUGACUCAGUUUGGUGAAGAGCCCACUAGGUCAGCUUUGUUACACAAUUGUCUGCUGAGACUUGUGCAAAUAUGGUUCACUCUCAGAAAAGCUGCCACCUGAACUUUAAGUUCAGAAUGUUUGCAGAUGAACAACUUUUUUUAUUUUGAAACCAGGUUACACAGCAUUAUAGACUUGCCGUCAUAAACUCACAAUUGCAACAAUCUGUCAGGUUUCUUUCUUUGUAGGACAUGUUAGACCUUUAGUACAAAUGCAGAAGGUCUGAAGUAAAUUAGGCGCCAGAUUCAAUACAUUUGCAAUGCUUGGGGUUAGUUAUUGUAUAGUCUAGUAUUAAAGGUAAUUAGAAUAUAUUCAAAUGCACUCGAGCUAAAAAUUUAGAUUUAUUUGACAAACAAUAUAAAAACAGUCUAGAAUUACAAGUUCAAUCUUCAGACUUUGUCCCUCGUUUUCCGCUUGAUUUAGAAGCCACUUUACUGUCCGCUUUGGCAACCUUGGCCUUUCCAGGCUUUGCCUCCUUCGUUUUCUUUGCUUUAGUCUUGGUCGAGUCAGCAGUUUCCUCACCAUCCCCAGUCGGUUUAGCUCUUUUAGCCUUUGGCUUCUUCGCUGGAGCAACCUUUGAUGUAGAAGCCUCUUCAUCCUUCAACUUUUUGGGAGGCUUUGAGUCCUAAAAGGCAAGAGGGGAAUUUAGGAGACAGCGGUAGAUUGAAUGACAGACAGAAUUUAAUGAACACUGGAGAGAACGUAAACUACUUUACCAGACAAAUAAGAGAUCCUAUGAAAACUGACACGUUCAGGACACUUUACCAAGCCAUUAACCCCUGAAUUGUAACGCAAUUGCCAGAAAAUUCACUUUAAAAUGAUGAAUCUGACAAAUUAUCAAACUAACUCCAAAUCAAGUCAUAUGUAAAUAAAAUGCAUCAAAUUUGCUACAUCUGGCUUAAAAUAAAUGCUCAAGUCUAUUGUGCAAUUUGGGAAUUUUUUCCAGGAUUUUUCUCUAGUGAGGCCGUACAGAUACCUGGUUUCCAUUUCUGUUGAAAUUUAUAGUUAUGCAAAAGUAACAUUCUGACCAUCUUCCAGAAUAUUUUGAGGGUCCUUCAAAUCUUAAACAUUUGCAACUUUAGAAUAUAGAUGUAAACUACCAUGAGCUUCAUCUACAUUCUUAAAUACAUGAAGAGUCAACUUCCCAACUUCUCAUCUAAAGACAAACUUGCGCCCGCUCACCUCUUUGGACUUUGUUUGUCCAUUUUCAGCGUCUUUUUUCUUUGCGGCACCUGUAAGAAAUGACAGGUUGACACAGAGUAACAGCUUAAAUUACUGCUGACUCGAGGUUUAACGGUCAUUCAUACCCGCUUUGCUGGGCUUCUUGGCUCCAUCCUUGGCUGCUUUUGGAGACUUCUUCACACUGGGCUCUGCGUUUUCGGCUUUUGGUUUGGUCUUCGGUGCAAGCUUAAUAAAGACGAAACCCGUAAUUGACAUUUGAACUCUUCGUUUGAACGCAGUUGCAGAUGUAGCCUCUUACCCUAAAUCUCCUCGUGGCCGUUGUCGCGCUGGAGUUUCCAGGCUUCACCAGCGUCCCAUUUUCCACUCCCUUCUUUAGGUUUUUGCGAACUAAAGUCUUCAGCCUCGCCAAAUCCACCGACGGGUAUUUUUCAGUGAUAUACUUCAGUAUCGCCUGGGAUGAAACUCCUUUGCGCGAGUCCAACGCUUGAAGUGCUUCUUUCACCAUGAUCGCCGUGGAUGGAUGAGGCGCAGCAUCUACGCAGAGUAAAUUUACAUAUAAUUUUUUAAAGUUCGUUCCAUCUUAAAGAUUUUCGCCUCUUGCGCACAGACCUGAUUUCUUUUCCGGCUUCUCAUCCAUCGACGCUUCGCUUGUGGAUGAAUCGGACGGCUCAGUGGAGUGUGCUGGUGGCCUUUUGGGAGCCAUUUCACUAAAAUCUAAAGUUAAAAACAGGACACAAUAAAGGCAGACAAGCUAAAGUCUUAAAAUAUGCGUACUCUCCUUUUAUUUGGCAACUGUCUCUGUUUUUAUGCAGUUGUUUCCGGUAUAAUGAGACCAGGUGAACCGCAUCGCACCAGGUGUGGUAAAUUAGGAUUUGAAAGCCACCGCGGAUUCAUCCAACUUAAUGUGUUAUCACUGAAUCCUGUCGCCUCAUCCGGUGUCAAAACACCCAAGCAGUGCUUCAAAUGCACAGAUAGCAAGACGACAUUAAAACAAUGCUGACUUUUUAUUUGAAUCGUCGACUGAAAUCUCAGACCUAAAUAAAUGUCGGAUCAAUGUUAAAUGCUGAUGAAACUUGACGGUGUGACGACAGUGACGUAUGCACUUUAUCACAUACAUAUCUUUGCUGAUUGUAUUUGGCACUUUAUGCAACCUUUUGCACCUCUUGAUGAUAUUUGUAAUAGUAAAAUAAACUGUUUUAGGUGGUUAAAUGUUAUGCUCAAAAUUAGCUUUUGAGAUGUGAAUUUAAUGAUUUUUAAUUUUAAACAAGUUUUGGACAGAUUUCUAAAAUUUCACGUGCUUUAUUCACAUUGUGUUUUUGUAUUUUCUUUUGUAGUUGGUGCAAAUGCAUUACACAGAGAAUUUUCCUUUAGCUAUAUGCAGUUCAGAGCUACAGUCUAGGCUGGAUGGAGGCAGGACAUCACAGAGUAUUCAGCUUCAUCAUGACUGGACACCUGCUGUUUGCCAUCCUCAUGAGUAAGUCAAAUCUCUGUAGAUUUCAACAUAAAUUAACUCAGGGUCAUCUUCGCAAAUUACCUACAUUUUU
Molecule: non-coding RNA, 3811 nt
Organism: Neolamprologus brichardi
Lineage: Eukaryota; Metazoa; Chordata; Actinopteri; Cichliformes; Cichlidae
Source: RefSeq, a predicted model, not a curated record